AUUGAACGCUGGCGGCAUGCCUUACACAUGCAAGUCGAACGGCAGCACGGGAGCAAUCCUGGUGGCGAGUGGCGAACGGGUGAGUAAUAUAUCGGAACGUGCCCAGUCGUGGGGAUAACGUAGCGAAAGCUACGCUAAUACCGCAUACGAUCUAUGGAUGAAAGCGGGGGGAUCGCAGACCUCGCGCGAUUGGAGCGGCCGAUAUCAGAUUAGGUAGUUGGUGNGUAAAGGCUCGCCAAGCCGACGAUCUGUAGCUGGUCUGAGAGGACGACCAGCCACACUGGGACU
RNAcentral lists this ribosomal RNA (288 nucleotides) under uncultured bacterium. RNAcentral's name for it is "partial 16S ribosomal RNA". It matches the Rfam family "Bacterial small subunit ribosomal RNA", at positions 30 to 320 of the family's 1533-position model. The record is from RNAcentral.